AGUGAACGCUGGCGGUAGGCCUAACACAUGCAAGUCGAACGGCAGCACAGUAAGAGCUUGCUCUUACGGGUGGCGAGUGGCGGACGGGUGAGGAAUACAUCGGAAUCUACUUUUUCGUGGGGGAUAACGUAGGGAAACUUACGCUAAUACCGCAUACGACCUACGGGUGAAAGCAGGGGAUCUUCGGACCUUGCGCGAUUGAAUGAGCCGAUGUCGGAUUAGCUAGUUGGCGGGGUAAAGGCCCACCAAGGCGACGAUCCGUAGCUGGUCUGAGAGGAUGAUCAGCCACACUGGAACUGAGACACGGUCCAGACUCCUACGGGAGGCAGCAGUGGGGAAUAUUGGACAAUGGGCGCAAGCCCGAUCCAGCCAUACCGCGUGGGUGAAGAAGGCCUUCGGGUUGUAAAGCCCUUUUGUUGGGAAAGAAAAGCAGCAGGUUAAUACCCCGCUGUUCUGGCGGUACCCAAAGAAUAAGCACCGGCUAACUUCGUG
RNAcentral lists this ribosomal RNA (492 nucleotides) under uncultured bacterium. RNAcentral describes it as "partial 16S ribosomal RNA". It matches the Rfam family "Bacterial small subunit ribosomal RNA", at positions 29 to 507 of the family's 1533-position model. The record is from RNAcentral.